Molecule: ribosomal RNA, 450 nt
Filed under: uncultured bacterium
Lineage: Bacteria
Description: partial 16S ribosomal RNA
Rfam family: Bacterial small subunit ribosomal RNA
Source: RNAcentral
GUGGGGAAUUUUGGACAAUGGGGGCAACCCUGAUCCAGCCAUUCCGCGUGAGUGAAGAAGGCCUUCGGGUUGUAAAGCUCUUUCGGCAGGAACGAAACGGUGAGCUCUAACAUAGCUCGCUAAUGACGGUACCUGAAGAAGAAGCACCGGCUAACUACGUGCCAGCAGCCGCGGUAAUACGUAGGGUGCGAGCGUUAAUCGGAAUUACUGGGCGUAAAGCGUGCGCAGACGGUUGUGUAAGACAGGUGUGAAAUCCCCGGGCUUAACCUGGGAACUGCGCUUGUGACUGCACGGCUAGAGUAUGGCAGAGGGGGGUGGAAUUCCACGUGUAGCAGUGAAAUGCGUAGAGAUGUGGAGGAACACCGAUGGCGAAGGCAGCCCCCUGGGCCAAUACUGACGCUCAUGCACGAAAGCGUGGGGAGCAAACAGGAUUAGAUACCCGAGUAGUCC